UUGGCUUUUAGUUCACUAGGACAUUGAAACCUGGAUUAAUCAGUCCCUUAAAAGUGCCCCAGGGCAAUUACAACCUGUCCCAUGUUAAUGUUUGUUUUGACUGCUGGUUAGGCCAUCUAGGGCUAUAAAUGCUUUUCCAUAUGGGUGUGCACAGUGUGUGGGUGGGUGGUGGAAACAUCAUCUCUUUGUACUAAUGACAUAUUGUUAACAUUGGUUAGGAGCUUCCUAAUGUGUAAAUUUCCUUUUAAAAUGUGGUCACUUGAUUGACAGCUUCUUUUGUUUAAAAAACAAAACUGCCACAGAUUCUUUUUGUCUGGGCCCUGCCUGUUUUCUCUGUGUGAAGAACUGUGUAGUAGUAGCUAUGAUGCUAUGCAAUCAUAAUCUCUAGAAUUAAAAAAAAAUCUAAAACAA
This is a non-coding RNA of Chelonoidis abingdonii (Abingdon island giant tortoise), 411 nucleotides long. Lineage: Eukaryota; Metazoa; Chordata; Testudines; Testudinidae. The record is from RefSeq and is a predicted model, not a curated record.